This is a long non-coding RNA of Nicotiana tabacum (common tobacco), 863 nucleotides long. RefSeq lists it as uncharacterized. Lineage: Eukaryota; Viridiplantae; Streptophyta; Magnoliopsida; Solanales; Solanaceae. The record is from RefSeq and is a predicted model, not a curated record.
AUGUUCCACAGCAAUAUCUUAUCUCCUCUGUAAAAAAAUCAUCAUCUUCUUCCUCCUCUUAAUCUUUGCCAUACGCAAUAACUGCAGUGAGAAAUACUCAAGACAGAGCUAAAAGUAGUACUUAGUAGAAACACAGGUCCCAAAGGUUGCUUUACUAAGCAAGAUAAGGCAAGAAGCAAGGUCAUAGCAGUUGCACGAAAAGUCGUCACGCCUUAGCAUAACUGUUUUCUUGCUCAUUAGCGCUGUUUUUUUGAAAGAAGGGGCGGAGCUUGAAGUAUUUAGCAUGAUGAAUAACGAGACCAUUUUUCGGACAUCGGUAAGCUGCUUGGCAGCAAUAAUAGUGUUGAUUGGUCUAUACACUCAGUCUUUCUACAAAAUGGUGGCAACUUACUUGUUUGGAAUGCUAGCUAUAUGUGGUGUUAUUUUACCUGAUUGGGAAUUCUUCGAUCGUAGUGUCUCACAUUGGUGCACCCCUGUCACUGUGAAUGACUUCACCAACAAAUCUCCCGGACCCUUCACUUCUACUAGGUAUAAAUUCUACCCAGUCAGAUCGGUGGUUUACGCAAUAGUUUAUGGAUUCGGUCUUUACAGGUGGUGGAUUUAUAUAUCAAGCUAUAAAUGAAAGCAAGCAGUAAUGAAUUGUCAUUGUAGCAGUUGUGGCAUACUGCAUCAUAUAUUAACUCAGAAAUCGUCUAUGUCCGUCUUACUGUAUUAUGUGUGUGUGUGUGUGUGCGCGUGCGCAUCUUUGCCAGUGUGUGUAUGAUAAGCAUCAUAUGAUCAAAAAACUGCAAGUUCAUCGCUACAGAAAUAUUUGUAUUUCAUCCAAAGAAAAGAUAUGUGAGAUUUGCAUUCAUAAUUUUCAA